CCUACGGGAGGCAGCAGUGGGGAAUAUUGCACAAUGGGGGAAACCCUGAUGCAGCGACGCCGCGUGAGUGAGGAAGUAUUUCGGUAUGUAAAGCUCUAUCAGCAGGGAAGAAAAUGACGGUACCUGACUAAGCAGCCCCGGCUAACUCCGUGCCAGCAGCCGCGGUCAUACGUAGGGGGCAAGCGUUAUCCGGAUUUACUGGGUGUAAAGGGAGCGUCGACGGUUAAUCAAGUCUGAAGUGAAAACCCAGGGCCCAACCCUGGGACUGCUUUUGAAACUGAUGAGCUAGAGUGCAGGAGAGGUAAGCGGAAUUCCUAGUGUAGCGGUGAAAUGCGUAGAUAUUAGGAGGAACACCAGUGGCGAAGGCGGCUUACUGGACUGUAACUGACGUUGAGGCUCGAAAGCGUGGGGAGCAAACAGGAUUAGAUACCCCGGUAGUC
Molecule: ribosomal RNA, 440 nt
Filed under: uncultured bacterium
Lineage: Bacteria
Description: partial 16S ribosomal RNA
Rfam family: Bacterial small subunit ribosomal RNA
Source: RNAcentral